UACGGGGGGAGCAAGCGUUGUUCGGAUUUACUGGGCGUAAAGGGCGCGUAGGCGGUCGUGACAAGUCACUUGUGAAAUCUCCGGGCUUAACCCGGAGCGGCCAAGUGAUACUGUCGUGCUAGAGUGCGGAAGGGGCUACUGGAAUUCUCGGUGUAGCGGUGAAAUGCGUAGAUAUCGAGAGGAACACCUGCGGCGAAGGCGGGUAGCUGGGCCGACACUGACGCUGAUGCGCGAAAGCCAGGGGAGCGAACGGG
Molecule: ribosomal RNA, 254 nt
Filed under: uncultured bacterium
Lineage: Bacteria
Description: partial 16S ribosomal RNA
Rfam family: Bacterial small subunit ribosomal RNA
Source: RNAcentral